Molecule: long non-coding RNA, 971 nt
Organism: Syzygium oleosum
Lineage: Eukaryota; Viridiplantae; Streptophyta; Magnoliopsida; Myrtales; Myrtaceae
Exons: 2
Source: RefSeq, a predicted model, not a curated record
CUUACAUGUGUCCUCUUCCUCAAUCCGAAAUUGGUAAAAGGAAAAACAAAGGGUGUUCUUCCCCAUGAAACAUGCUAAAUAGCUGGGGAUGAUGAAGCAUCAAGUAUUGACAGAGAUUGGUCAAGAUCUGAUCUUUCAGAUUCUUGUAAGUGUCCAGAGACCAGUAAAAAAGGCACUCAGUUGCUGUGACUUCGGUUGCAAAUGAGAUGGUAAAUUCAUUUCAAAGGAAAGGGACACCACGUGCAUUUGCCCCGAGUUCACCAACCAGUUGAUCAGACUACGCAUCAGGAACUGUUAAUGCACUUCUGAAGCGCUAGAAGUUAUGUCUUUCCUCUCAUCGGGAUCGAGUUUCAGUUGUGUUUCAUGCGACGUCUGGAGUUGUCAUCGUCCACACGUGCUUAGGGUCCUUUUCGAUUCUGCAGAUUGUUGGGUGAGUCCUCAUCACUCAGUUUUUUUGAUGAUUUUAUGCUGAGACUCUUCCUCGAGACCUAGCUAUCAUCAGACACGGUCUGCACUGAGCAUGUGUAGGUGUGCACUAAAAGCCAUUUCAUGUGAUCCCAAGUUGUAUGAGCCGAAGGGUAUCUGUAGCUAUACCUAGAUUGAACUGGUCGAUACGGUGUUUCGGUUUAUUGUCGUCGAGCAAUGACCGACCAAUCAUCAGGAGGAGCUGAAACACAUGCAAGGAAAUGAGAUGUCAUUCGCGAUUACUUGAAGCGGACUUCGUGCACUCAGUCUUGACUCAGCUUUGUUCAUGGAACUAUUUUUCUUUACUAGAUGGUACUUAAUAGUCUUGCACAGUUCCGAACCUUAGAAAAUAAGGGGAAAAAUACAAUGUUUUAAGCAUAUGCAUAUACUCUCAAACUUAGACAUGUACAGCAAGAUAAUGUGAAAAACAUAAACUAGACUUCCGAGGUGCGUGUUUGGUGUACAGCUACAAUUUUAAGAGGAGGUUUGAUACAACUUUCUUUCAA